AUCAAAUAUAUAUUUUUUUAAAUCUUGAUAAGUCAACACUUUGCAUGAAUCUUAAUUAUUAUAUCAUUGCUUAAAAAAAAGAAGAACUUUGAAAAAUUCAGGUGCUUUGAAAAAUCCCCCUUGUGCAGGUGUUUAUGGUUAAUAUCGAGAAAAAGACGAAAAUCAAAAUCUUACAAAUUUGGAGAUUAAUCACGAAUAAAAAUGGAGCAAUAAUGCUACAUUGCAAAGUGGAGGAUCGGCUAUUUACUCAAAAGAAGUACAUACUUCGGCA
RNAcentral lists this long non-coding RNA (271 nucleotides) under Coffea arabica (coffee). RNAcentral's name for it is "long non-coding RNA (CARA_LNC000069)". The record is from RNAcentral. Lineage: Eukaryota; Viridiplantae; Streptophyta; Magnoliopsida; Gentianales; Rubiaceae.